Triticum urartu is the source of this 1956-nucleotide non-coding RNA. The record is from RefSeq and is a predicted model, not a curated record. Lineage: Eukaryota; Viridiplantae; Streptophyta; Magnoliopsida; Poales; Poaceae.
ACUGUAGAUAAUAAUUAGUGAGUCAAAAUCAAAAAGAAUGUAAGUAUAUUUAUACGCACACAUGAAAACUAAACAUGUGAGGUUCGUGGCGGUGUUGUUGUCCCCAAGCUCCGACUCGGACGCGUAGUCACUGUCCCAAACUGAGGCAGCUCAAAAAUUUGUCUUCGUCCGCAGGAGAGGCAGCCGGGCUUGGUCAUCGAAUAUUUUUGCUCGUCUUUGUUCAGAUGUUGUUCGGAGUUCAAACUACCAAAGAUCCUCGAGUGGUCUUCUUUUUGCUCCACUUUGUUGUAAUUAAUCUCUUCAUUCAAUAGCCUGUUUCCAAGUUCAAUUAUUUCUGAAGAAACUGGGAGCUCAAUUCCGGGGUUUACCUUGAGUUUAUUUUCGAGCUUGUCUCUAAUUCCACCAAGGCGCGUCCUUGUUUCUGUGAAUUUGUGGCAUAACAUUGGUCUUCUGACUUGGCAGUGGCAUAAUAUUAUUGUGAAUAGUUGUCCUAGGUGGUUGCCAAUCGCCCACUGAAGCCACUCUGUUGUCAUUGAGAAAUCCUAGUGCCUCGCAAGCAAAUCUGUAUGAUGUGUGCACAACUCCAUUUACUGUUCUCAUGUCUUAGAAACAUGUGCAUCCUUUCUUGAGUUUAGUAGUAUUCACAUAUACUAUUUUUUUCUGAUUGCGGGAUGGGCAUAAUAUAUCCUUCCAACUGAUCUUCAUUUCUUCCUUUUGCUUCACUUCGUGUCUUUCUUCCAUACCUAUUUUGACGGGAACUCUGCAUAUGUUAAUUCUCUGGCUUCCUCACACAUCUUGUGUAUCUGCAUCCACUGUGUGGAAAGUCAAUCUUUCAAUCCAGGGAUCUCUGAAGUGCAUUUCAAAUUGAAAUAUUCUCCAACACGCGUCAUCUCUUGAUCUCAUUGUUUCGUAUUAGCACCGUGGAUUGGCCAUCACCUUUAUUUGUGUAUUUAAAAAGAAAGUGGCAGGUGACGGACGACUACAAAGAUCAACGGCGAUGCGCCGACGGACGACUACAAAGAUCAAUGGCGAUGCGCCUGCUGGUCUUUGGACUGAGAAGAGUACCUUGUUCUGCCGCUUCCGACCUGGGCCGGCCUUGCUCGUCCAAAUGAAGUAAAGGAGAUCAACUUUGUGCCGAAAUCUUUAAUGUUAAAGAGGAUCUCAAGUUCCAAUCAUCACGCGAAGACACAAAUAUUGAGUAUUUUUUAGUAGCAGCCGGCUGAAGCCAUAUCUACCUGAUUAAUGAGGCACUUCAUUUAGACAUCAUUAUUGAGGUACCGAGUCAAAAUAUUAUGCGAACCAUUAUAUGUUCUAAAAACUCUAAAUGGAUAGCAUACUCCAGUGCCCUUUGCUUCUUAAUGGACUUUAGAGCUAUGGAAGCCGUUCCACAACCCAAAAACUAUAAUAUAGGAGCACGCUAUAAUUCUGUGAGAUGGUACUUACCGGAGGUGGUCUGAUCUCUUGAGGGAGCUGGUUAUGAUCAAGGAUAGUCAACAGGAGAUUUGGGGGCUGGUGACCGAUGCAGGAAGACUAUGCUGAAGUGCCACUUGUUGGAUUCCCUGCUAGCUUGCUUAGGAAAUAGAAGAUUGAUUAGAUUGGCGUAUUACCAAAUAGUCUUGAUGCAAGCUUCCUUUUUUUUUUGAACAGAGAAAGGCACCCGAAGAUACCAAUAUAUUCAGCUCACAGAACAUUUUACAGUCGAGAUUACACCAUCUGCUAGAAUAAAGAGAAAGAAGAACUGCAGAUGCAAAGAAAGAAGAGCUGAAUAAAGACAUAUGAGAGAGCAAGGAACAAGAUCCUUGCUGAAGAACAGCAUGUCCUAAGAAACAAAGGAAGAGAAGGGGAAAAGAAAAUUCCAGCUUUGACAGCAAUCUCCUUCUUUCCAACAACCGAGCAUAGACCAUCAUAUCAUGUUGAGAUGAGGAACUUCCCAGAGCUAUCAACUUUCUCCUAAAA